GGCAAAGAGAAGGGAGCAUGAAGCUGUCAUUUUGAACAUGCCUAGUCGCAGAGAUGCAUGCGGGGAGAACUCUAUGUGAAGGUGAAGGCAGAGAUGCUUCAUUAAGCCAAGGAAUGCCAAAGGUGGCCAGCAAACCACCAGAAACCAGGCAAGAUGCAUGGAACAGAUUCUGUCUCGUAGCUCUCAGAAGGAACCAACCCUGCCAUCGCACAUUGAUUUUGGACUUCUGGCUUCCAGAACUGUGUGCUCAGACAGAGGAGGGAGACAAGGUACCACGUUAACAACAGGACUGAAAUUUCGCCCAGAGUACAGAGAGCUCAGCAGAUUCCUGGCAUUUCUGAAAAACAAUCCUCUGGGGUUGAAUCAAAUUAAAUGCUUUAGGAAAAAAAGUUUUGAUAUUCAAGAGAAAUAAUGUGGCUUAACAACUGAAGUUCCACUUCUGAUGGACCUGAGAAGCCUUGCAAAUGACGUUUGAUUUUCACACUCUUUGAAGAGACAACAGAUUUCAUUGUGUAGGGGAGAAGCUGCCCAAGUGGACUUCUGGAGUUCUGACUACUUUGGGAGAUCCAUUGACUGAAAUGGAAGAAAAUAAUUCUAAAAUUUGUAUGGAACCACAAAGACUGCUAAUAGCCAAAGCUAGUUUGAACAAGAAGAACAAAGCUGGAGGCCUCACACUUUCUGAUUUCAAAAUAUAUUGCGAAGCUACAGUACUAGCAUAAAAACAGAUGAUAAACCAAUGGGUAGAAUAGACAGCCCAGAAAUAAGCCCACUUACAUGUGGUCAGCUAAGUUUUAACAAGGGUGCUAAGAAUACAUAACAGGCAAAUGAUAGUCUCUUCAAUCAAGUAUGGAGAAAAUUGGAUAUCUACAUGCAAA
RNAcentral lists this long non-coding RNA (875 nucleotides) under Pan troglodytes (chimpanzee). Its description in RNAcentral is "lincRNA". The record is from RNAcentral. Lineage: Eukaryota; Metazoa; Chordata; Mammalia; Primates; Hominidae.